UCUUGGGGUUAAUGUCCUGUGCUUGUCUCUGCACACAGGCCAAGCUAACUAUGGGAGGAAUUUAGCUUCGAGUUUAAUUUUAAAGCAAGGAUGAUCAUAGUCCCUUCCCUAAACUAACCCCCAGGGACAUAGGACAGCACACACAAGUAACCAUGCUAUGUUAAA
This is a long non-coding RNA of Sapajus apella (tufted capuchin), 165 nucleotides long. RefSeq lists it as uncharacterized. Lineage: Eukaryota; Metazoa; Chordata; Mammalia; Primates; Cebidae. The transcript is spliced from 3 exons. The record is from RefSeq and is a predicted model, not a curated record.